Molecule: long non-coding RNA, 389 nt
Organism: Entelurus aequoreus (snake pipefish)
Lineage: Eukaryota; Metazoa; Chordata; Actinopteri; Syngnathiformes; Syngnathidae
Exons: 3
Source: RefSeq, a predicted model, not a curated record
AAAAAUAUCGACCAGCAGUAAGUUGCUGUAAAACCUACAGUGUAAUUCAGUAUUUUUCAGACUUGUUUCUUGGGUCCGCCCACAAUUCGUCCAACCGAGCUUCAUUUCACCUGGCCGACCCUGCUAAAUCCAUCCUACUGCAUCGUGUGUUUUUGAUAACAAGUUGCUGGUGACAAAGUCACAAUAAAACGUUGGAUGAUCAGCAUGGAAGGUGAUGUCAUCUGCAAAGGCGUCCAACCUAGCUUAAUCUCAGGGCUUGCUGCCCUUCUUGCCACAUACUAUGUGUUCAACUUGGAAUACCAAGAGGAAGGUCCUCGGACAUUGGAAUUUGUUCAAAGGGACCGAAGCACCAGUUUGACUCUAGGAUACAGAGAAGGUAGGUAAUGUGC